GCCCCUGUAGCUCAGCCGGUAGAGCGGAUGGCUGUUAACCAUCAUGCCGUUGGUUCGAAUCCAGCCGGGGGCG
RNAcentral lists this transfer RNA (73 nucleotides) under Candidatus Coatesiibacteriota bacterium. Its description in RNAcentral is "Candidatus Coatesbacteria bacterium tRNA-Asn". It matches the Rfam family "tRNA". From Rfam's summary of the family: Transfer RNA (tRNA) molecules are approximately 80 nucleotides in length. The record is from RNAcentral. Lineage: Bacteria; Candidatus Coatesiibacteriota.